Molecule: ribosomal RNA, 269 nt
Filed under: uncultured archaeon
Lineage: Archaea
Description: partial 16S ribosomal RNA
Rfam family: Archaeal small subunit ribosomal RNA
Source: RNAcentral
ACACGACUACAUUAGAUACCCCGGUAGUCCCAGCUGUAAACUAUGUGCCGUUAGGUGUGUCAGUGACCACGUGUCACUGAGGUGCCGAAGGGAAACCGUGAAACGCACCGCCUGGGGAGUACGGUCGCAAGGCUGAAACUUAAAGGAAUUGGCGGGGGAGCCACCCACAACGGGUUGGAGCCUGCGGUUUAAUCGGACUCAACGCCGGGAAUCUCACCGGAUAAGACAGCUGAAUGAUAGUCGGGAUGAAGACUCUACUUGACUAGCUG